Molecule: long non-coding RNA, 1347 nt
Organism: Glycine soja
Lineage: Eukaryota; Viridiplantae; Streptophyta; Magnoliopsida; Fabales; Fabaceae
Exons: 5
Source: RefSeq, a predicted model, not a curated record
GUUACUCUUUAUUCCUCAAUCUUCUCCUCUCUUUUUUUAUCUUUUAUCUUUCUAUUUCUGACAUUCUCUUCUUUGAUUCGAAUAAGUUCUCCGGCCCCAUUCCUCCCUCACUCUCCGCUAUCUCCGGCCUCCGCUUCCUCAUGACUCUUUAUGCUCUCCAAUGAAUUGAGAUGAGGGAUAUGAGACAAUAGGUUCCCAAGUUUUCGUGGUUCUCCGAAUCAUAGAGAUGGAACGCGUCUCUGAAUUUCCUCACAAAAAGGAUACAGCAGUAAAGUUUUCUUCAGCUUGGUGGUUGUGCAACAUGAUGAUGAAGAAGCAUCCAACAGGCAAGGUUUUUUUUUUUUUUGCUUUGCUGUUAUGCAUAUUUGUUUCCUUUUGGUAGUAACAUUGAUCUUGCCUAUUGAAUGUUCUUUUGCUAUUGAAUGCUCUUUUCUUUGUUAUUUUGUUGGUUUUGUUGCUCCAAGUUAAAGUAGUUUUCGCUGCUCCAUGGUUUUGCAACGUCACCCGUGAGGAAGUAUCCAGACAUUGACUCAUAUUCCUGCACAUCAGCAAAGGGCCGCACUCUUCCAUUCCACCCUUCCCCUGCAACGUAAAUGCCACAAUCAUUUGGACUCCGUUAGUUUCUCUCAAUUCCCUUCGUUUUAUCUUUUUGUCAUUUGAUUCAACAACUUCUCUUGAUUUAUAUCAAUUUUUGUCUCUUUUAAUUAUGGGUCUCACCACCCCAAUUCCGUGUUUCUUUCUAAUUUUGUAUCCGUUUUUUACAAUCUGGGAACUUUUUGUGUAACCCAAGCAGUGAAAAGUGUUGUUUACAUGUUUUGUUGCUGAGAACGGUUUAAUUAUAGAGAAGGAGCAAUGAUACAUCGAGAAGGUUUAGAAGGGUGCAAGCGAAACACAAAGCAAUGAACAAUAUCAAUGAUUAUGCAGAAUCCCUCUUUCAGUUGUGCUCAGAAAAUGGUGCGGGGCCAGAAAGAGAUGAACUUGAUUUUGAGUUUUUGGGAAACAAAACAGGAGAGCCUUAUUUGAUUCAGACUAAUGUAUACAAGAAUGGGACUGGUGGGCGUAAGAUGAGGCACAUGCUUUGGUUUGACCCCACAGAGGACUACCACACCUAUUCCAUUCACGAGGGAAGAAUUAGAAUGAUAUCAUGUUAAAAAGGCAUUUGCUUAGUUGAUUCUAACUAACUAACUGUUAUGUAAUUUUAAUUUUUUGAGUUAUUUGCUGCUAGCUAGGGGACUUAUUAGGAAAUAAUUGAACAUCAACAUGUCAUUUGAACCUUAUGAUCAGAAUUGAAAUAUCUUGAUUAUUUUCUCAAUAGAAGCAUGAUCUGAAAUGUGAUUGUUAUUUUUA